RNAcentral lists this ribosomal RNA (333 nucleotides) under uncultured bacterium. RNAcentral describes it as "bacterial SSU rRNA". It matches the Rfam family "Bacterial small subunit ribosomal RNA", at positions 568 to 898 of the family's 1533-position model. The record is from RNAcentral.
UGUGUAGGCGGUUGGGCAAGUCUGGUGUGAAAUCUUCACCGCUUAACGGGAAGAGGUCACUGGAAACUGCUUAACUCGAGUCUGGUAGAGGCCGGCGGAAUUCCUGGUGUAGCGGUGGAAUGUGUAGAUAUCAGGAAGAACACCUGUGGCGAAGGCGGCCGGCUGGGCCACGACUGACGCUGAAACACGAAAGCGUGGGGAGCAAACGGGAUUAGAUACCCCGGUAGUCCACGCUGUAAACGGUGCGCACUAGGUGUGAGGGGUAUCGACCCCCCUUGUGCCGGAGCAAACGCAUUAAGUGCGCCGCCUGGGGAGUACGGCCGCAAGGUUGAA